RNAcentral lists this ribosomal RNA (448 nucleotides) under uncultured bacterium. RNAcentral describes it as "bacterial SSU rRNA". It matches the Rfam family "Bacterial small subunit ribosomal RNA", at positions 330 to 795 of the family's 1533-position model. The record is from RNAcentral.
UCCAGACUCCUACGGGAGGCAGCAGUGGGGAAUAUUGCACAAUGGGGGGAACCCUGAUGCAGCGACGCCGCGUGAGUGAAGAAGUAUUUCGGUAUGUAAAGCUCUAUCAGCAGGGAAGAUAAUGACGGUACCUGACUAAGAAGCCCCGGCUAACUACGUGCCAGCAGCCGCGGUAAUACGUAGGGGGCAAGCGUUAUCCGGAUUUACUGGGUGUAGAGGGUGCGUAGGUGGCAGGGCAAGUCAGAUGUGAAAGCCCGGGGCCCAACCCCGGUACUGCAUUUGAAACUGUCCGGCUGGAGUGCAGGAGAGGUAAGCGGAAUUCCUAGUGUAGCGGUGAAAUGCGUAGAUAUUAGGAGGAACACCAGUGGCGAAGGCGGCUUACUGGACUGUAACUGACACUGAGGCACGAAAGCGUGGGGAGCAAACAGGAUUAGAUACCCCCGUAACC